RNAcentral lists this ribosomal RNA (305 nucleotides) under uncultured bacterium. Its description in RNAcentral is "partial 16S ribosomal RNA". It matches the Rfam family "Bacterial small subunit ribosomal RNA", at positions 505 to 809 of the family's 1533-position model. The record is from RNAcentral.
ACAGCAGCAGCCACGGUAAUACGUAGGGUGCGAGCGUUAAUCGGAAUUACUGGGCGUAAAGGGUGCGUAGGCGGGUCUUUAAGUCAGGGGUGAAAUCCUGGAGCUCAACUCCAGAACUGCCUUUGAUACUGAAGAUCUUGAGUUCGGGGGAGGUGAGUGGAACUGCGAGUGUAGAGGUGAAAUUCGUAGAUAUUUGUAGGAAUGCCGAUGGGGAAGCCAGCUUACUGGACAGAUACUGACGCUAAAGCGCGAAAGCGUGGGGAGCAAACAGGAUUAGAUACCCCUGUAGUCCCUGUCUCUUAUAA